UACGUAGGGGGCUAGCGUUGUCCGGAUUUAUUGGGCGUAAAGAGCGUGUAGGCGGCCAUGUAGGUCCGGUGUGAAAACUCGAGGCUUAACCUCGAGAUGUCAUCGGAAACCAUUUGGCUAGAGUCCGGAAGAGGAGAGUGGAAUUCCUGGUGUAGCGGUGAAAUGCGCAGAUAUCAGGAAGAACACCCGUGGCUAAGGCGGCUCUCUAGUACGGUACUGACGCUGAGACGCGAAAGCGUGGGGAGCAAACAGG
Molecule: ribosomal RNA, 253 nt
Filed under: uncultured bacterium
Lineage: Bacteria
Description: partial 16S ribosomal RNA
Rfam family: Bacterial small subunit ribosomal RNA
Source: RNAcentral